Tribolium madens (black flour beetle) is the source of this 1171-nucleotide long non-coding RNA. RefSeq lists it as uncharacterized. Lineage: Eukaryota; Metazoa; Arthropoda; Insecta; Coleoptera; Tenebrionidae. The record is from RefSeq and is a predicted model, not a curated record. The transcript has 3 exons.
UAUUUCCGGUUCCAACUUGUUAAAUUUUCCUAACCUAGUAUUUUGAAUUGCUUCUAAUUUUUUUAUAAAUCACCCUCUAUAUGAAACUAUGUUUUUUCGAGUCUAUUUGGCAUUUUUUGAUUUUUGAGAAAAAAAUCACGUGAGCUCAAGCCUCGGUUGCCAUAGCAACGCAACAAAUGACCAUGUUUGGCGCAAUUUUCCGGUUUCAACUUGUCUAAAUUUGAAAUUUUCUGUGUGUGGACAGACCUGUGGAAUGACUGAACGGGCUUGCAUAUGAGCUUAUUUUCGACUGUGCCCUUCUCGUCGACCCUUUCGAGCUCAUCAAACGUGUGUUCAGUUUUCGAACUUUGUCUGGAUUUCGGGAUUUCACCAAAUGGCUCAUCCAUUUCCAAAAUUUACAGUUUUAUAUUCACUUCACACAAAUACACGAAUUUUAUUUUCGCAAAACUGUUAUUUCAUUACCAUGGAAACACACGUUCAAUUUUCCCCCAGAGACAAACAACCACUAGAUCGCUUCAUCAGGAAUUUAUUUGAAAUCAAGACAAGAAUUUAAUUUAACAAAACUGAACAGCUCAGCCGAUUGGUUGGCUUGCGAUUGGUUGCUACGGAGCGAUUCGACGUUCAUUUUUUUCGCCUAAAAGUUUGUUUUACACAGAAAAGAACAAUAGUAGGAGGGACCUGUUCUCGAAGGGCUUUCUCAUGACUGAAGACUUUACUAACAAUCUGACUGUAGAAGUAGAUUAUCAUUGACAUUGGGAUAAUGUAGGAACAUAUGAAUAUCGACGUGACGAACAUGUGGUUGUCGAAAGUGUCGGUCAAGUAGUCGAAGGAACAGGCCGUUAGGAAUCCCUCGGGGGCGAAUCGUCCCCAGAUUUCUAGUAGUGGCAGCACUGCCCAAGGAAUGGUGUACCCCCAAACGAAGAUGAUCAUGACUAAAGCCUUAGUUCUUGUGAUUUUGCCAUCAAAGGGCCUUGUUAUGGUCGUAUACCGGUCAUAGGCGAUACAUGCGUUGGUCAUACCGGCCCCAAUCCCCGAUAAAGACCCAAUAAAUGCGAAAAUUUGGCACCCUAAAUGCCCCAAAGCAAAACCACGAUAAAACGAAUUGUAAAUAAAAAUCGGUGUUUUGAUCAUCAUCGCAAAAUCGCAAAUGGCAAGAUUCACAACAAACAUA